Molecule: ribosomal RNA, 3533 nt
Filed under: Triticum aestivum (bread wheat)
Lineage: Eukaryota; Viridiplantae; Streptophyta; Magnoliopsida; Poales; Poaceae
Description: partial small subunit ribosomal RNA
Source: RNAcentral
AUCAAGCAGGCUAAUCGGCCCUCCGAUCCGCCCAGCUGGCCCGCUGCGCGGAACCCUAGACGAAUGGGCGAGGCGGCGGCGGCGCACCGGAGGAUCCAGUUCCACGCGGCGGCGAGGCAGGGGGCGGGGGCGGCCGGAGGGGCCCCGAUGCGGAGGCCGUACCAGAACCCCGACAGGCGCUUGGCGCUAGCGGCGGCGGCGGCGCGGGAGAAGAAGGGCGAAGCGGGCGCGGGCGGGCUCGAUCGGGAGCUCGCCGCCGCCAGGGUCUACCUGCGAAGAAUCGGGGCUGGCUUGCAUAAUCUCGGCAAUACGUGCUACCUCAACUCGGUCCUGCAAUGCCUGACGUACACAGAGCCCUUCGUGGCGUACCUGCAGAGCGGGAAGCACACGUCAUCAUCAUGCCGAGCAGCUGGAUUCUGUGCACUGUGUGCUCUCCAGAACCAUGUUAGAUGUGCCCUACAGUCAACUGGGAAGAUAUUGACACCGGUGCAGUUUGUGAAGAACUUAAAAUAUGCACACGAGCUAAUGGUUAACUUACUUGAGUCCAUGCACAAAUGCUGUUUACCUUCGGGUAUACCAAGUCAGUCUCCGAGUGCUUAUGAGACCAGUCUAGUUCACAGAAUAUUUGGUGGCCGCUUAAGAAGUCAGGUGAGAUGUGCAAGUUGCUCCCACUGUUCCAGCAAAUUCGAUCCUUUCCUGGAUCUCAGUCUGGAAAUUGCUAAUGCUGCUACGUUGGUGAAAGCACUUCAAAAUUUUACUGAAGAAGAGGCUUUAGAUGGCGGGGAGAAGCAGUACAACUGCCAGAGCUGCAAGAAAAAAGUUGUGGCCAAGAAAAGAUUUACAAUUGAUAAGGCUCCUGAUGUAUUGACAAUUCAUCUGAAGCGUUUUAGUCCUUUUAACCCUGGUCAAAAGAUCAACAAAAAAGUGGAUUUUCAGUCAACUUUGAACUUGAAGCCAUUUGUCAGUAAUUCAGAAGGCAUGGAUUUCAGAUACAGUCUUUAUGGUGUGUUGGUUCAUGCUGGCUGGAAUACACAAUCAGGUCACUAUUAUUGCUUUGUUCGGACUUCUAGUGGGAUUUGGCACAAUCUUGAUGAUAACGAGGUUUGCCAAGUUCGUGAGGCAGAUGUAUUGAGGCAGAAAGCCUAUAUGUUAUUCUAUGUGCGUGACAGGGUGAGGAGCUCAGUGAUGUUCAAAAAUAAUGGUGCUGCUGGUUCGUUAGUUAAGAAUGCUAUUUCUGAGAAGACCGCUAAUAUGAAUGGCACAAUUCGAAACGGUUUAAUGGAAGCAAAAUUGAAUGUUCCCUCAUUUACCAAUGGAGAUGUUAAGUCGCAGAAGCAGAACCCAGAUGAUGGUCGUCCUAGCAUUUUUGGCAGCAGCUCACAAGGCCAGUGUUCAAAAUAUUCUAGCAGUACUGGAGUUAUUGAAGCCGCAGCUGUCCAAAACAAUGGUGUCCAAAACAAUGGUAUGGUUUCAGUACAGACAGCUGCUGCUACCUUGUCCAUCAACACAACCAAGACAACUUCAGAUAGUGCAAGGGAGAUAGUUUCAUCAGCACAGCCUGAUGUUACUGUUCCUCAUAAUUCAAGCUGUGACCCGAAGGCGUAUGAGAAGCCAUUGCAAGAACAGCAACCUGAGUCCGAUGGUGCAUUUACUGAUUCAGGUAAAGGCAGUACUGCUGCCUUGCCCAUAUGCAAUGGCGGUGAUGGGAUGUUGGAAGAAAAUCACCAGGCUUCUGAACCUCGAACAGAUCCAUGUGGUGAACAAACUCUCAAUACAAGUAAGCCAGCGGAAAGUGCAGAAAUAAAGAAAACCAAGCAUACGAUGCUUUCUGUUUCUAAUGGAACAAUGCCCAGUAGAGAAGAUUUAACCUGCUGUAAUGAAGCUAAAGAGUCAGCAGAGUCUGGGAAGCAACCUGAUGAAAUAGCUAUGGAGGAGCUUUCUGCGGAGAGCACAGGUGCUAUAACAAAUGCAGUGGAGCAGACUUCAGUCCAGACUAAAACAGCAGAGGUUGGCCAGGCUACGGUGGAGGAGCUUUAUGUGAAGGACACCGACUGCAUUGCAAAUGCACAGGAGCAGGCUUCUAUGCAGAACAAAGAUCUGGUAGCUGGGCAGGCUCACUCUGAGGCACACAUCUAUUCUGAAGUUUCCGCACAGCCGAUCUGCCCUGAAGUUUCUUCACUGGCGAUCUGCCCUGAAGUUUCUUCACUGGCGAUCUGCCCUGAAGUUUCUGCACAGGCGAUCUGCCCUGAAGUUUCUCCACAGGCGAUCUGCCCUGAAGUGUCCGCACAGGCGAUCUGCCCUGAAGAUCCUGCACAGGCGAUCUGCCCUGAAGUGUCCGCACAGGCGAUCUGCCCUGAAGUUCCUGCACAGGUGAUCUGCCCUGAAGUUCCUGCACACGUGAUCUGCCCUGAAGCUUCUGCCCAGGUGAUUUGCCCUGAAGACCCUGCACAAGUGUUGGAUAAGGAUCCAUGCCAUGGUAAUUUACGUACAAUGAAGGAUUUGAAGUCCAAGAAGCAUACGGAUUAUUCAACUGUGCACUUGCUUUUUGUGUCCAAGCAACCUUUACUUGCUGCACUAAAACUGCACAAGAAAAGGAAACACAAAAGAGCUAAAAGGCAGUCCAUUGACAAUGGAAUCAUCGCUGAUGAUCAGCAGACAUCAACAUCAGAAACUGUUUUUACCAAGGACAUAUCAUGUAAAUCCCAUAGAAGACGCAAACGCUCCCGCGCCCCUGCAAGUUCUGAUAAUGGUGUUGAGAUAUCCACGAAGAAACCACAUCUCGCUGAGCGCUCCAGCAGUGCUGCUGAUCUUCCCGUGGACAAGAAAGAUGACAAGGAUGCAACACCCGCUAGUGCCGAGCUACCAGGUCCAUGCGUAAGCUCUGUUGCGGACCAGACUGAUUCACGAAACAGCGCAGAUGCAAACGAGAGAGUCCCCUCGCAUUUCGAUCUGCUCACGAGGGGUUUGAGUGAAAUUACCGUUCCACUGUGGGAUGACACUGACAUGUCGGGUAGAAAGUCAGAGUUUCAAUAUUCGAGAAGGGCCGAGAGUAUUGGUUAUGUGCUAGAUGAAUGGGACGAGCAGUAUGACCGCGGGAAAAGGAAGAAGGUGAGGAAGCCACGGGAGGAGUCGAACGGACCGAACCCGUUCCAAGAGGCGGCCGAUGUCAGAGCACGGCCGAGGAAGAGACCGAGAUCCGACCAGGCCAGAUGGGGAAACCAGCCUCGCAGGAUAUGACAAAUCGCAGCCGACGAUGUUGUUGUAUCUAUCACCCAGUUUUGCAGUGAUCAUUUUCAUUUAUUCUUGUUUUGCUUCCCUCCUUGGUGUACGUUACAGUAGUUGCUCUCUGUUUUUCCUCCAGUGUUUACCCCCCCAUCCUUGGUGUGUUAUGUAAGAGCCCUGACAGAUAUUCGAAGCAUAUUGUUCGUUUUCUGAGUGACCAGUGAUCAGAUCGAGCAACAAAUCCAAUAUUUUGUACGUCGCUCCUGGCCCUUUGUCCAGCGCUGCUUUUUUGGUACAAGUUAGUAUAAAGU